UAGAACUCUUGAAUGGGCUCUAAUUGGACCCACUUUCAUUUAUUUUAACAUUUUGGGCCAUAAUGGGCCUAGAAUUAAAUAAAAUACCCUUAUUGGGCCAUAACAAAUCUAAUUAACCUAAAUGGGCCAUGAAACCCAUUCUUUUUGAUAAAUUGGGCUGUAAGCCAUAAAGGAGCCCAAUGGGUUGAAAAAUAAUUAUUGGGCCUCAUAAAUUAUAAACCAAGGGAAUGAUUUGGACCAAGCCACUUCAUCCUUUCUCCUAGUCCAAGGUUCUCGGCCCAACACAAAAAAAAGAGAUUAAUUAGAAUUAAACCUUGACACAUCAUUAUUGCUCAAAGGAUAUCAAGGUUUAAUACAUCACAUACAUCUAGGGCAUCCCAUGUUCCCAUGCAACUUCUCUUUCCCCCCUCUCUCUUCUUAUGAUCUUCCGAGAGCCAAACCACACACACACAACAUCAAAACUCUUCCAAACUCUCUCAAAUAUUAUCCUCCUUCCCACUCCAAAAUCUCGAAAUUUUGCUUGUGCAUCAAGAGGAUUUCAAGAAAAUAUCAUCACUUCUUGGUAAGUUAUACAUAUCCAAGGAUUUUAUAACUGUUUUCUCAUGAUUAGAUCCCUUAUCUUAAACAUUUGUGGUAAUAAUACUCUUAGAAUCACCUCAAGUUCGAGAUCAUAAUCAAGGUGUUGCUAGGGCCGAAAAUCACCUCACUUUCUUCCAUUUCUUUUUCAUAACUGUGACCAACAAGAAAGGGUGAGCUUAAUACCCCUCUAUUUUUCUAUUUUUAUAAGUUUUUAUGGGGGAGAAUACAAGCAAAUGUGUAGAUCUAGGAGUUUAUGUAUGUCUUGUGUGAUUUUAUGCAUGUAUGUAUGAUUCUUAUGUCUUAUGUUAGCUAAAAAUACCUAAAAACCGAUAUAUACAACAUGAAGAAUGAAAUAAACAUAGCUUAUACCAUUUUACACUAAUCAAGUCAAUAAAAAUAAUUUAUUUGGUUAGGAUGAAGAUUUUUGGACACAAAACCCAUUUUUGGGCUCAAAAUGUGAAAAAUACAAAACUAAGGGGCCUAACACGAGAAAAGAUAAUUUCUGGAGGUUGAAACAGGUCCAAACAGUUUUUAAGAUAAUUUUUCUGAAUAAAAACACUUUUGAGGGGCUUAAAAUGUAAAUUUUGAACCUAAUGGGCUAAAAAUGGGAUUUUCGGCCCAAUAAGCCCCAAAUUGCGAAAAUUGUGAAAUAGAGGGGCUGAAACUGCACAUUUCUGAAAAACAGGGGACUACUAGUGUAAUAAAACUAAGUCAAGGGUCAAAAAUGUUUUCAAAUUAAAAAGGGACCAAAAAUGCAAAAAAUUUCCAUUUGGGGCCAAAAUUGUAAAGUUGCGAAAACGGGGGUUUCAAUCGAGAAAAUUUCAUUUUUGAGGGACUUAAGCUGUUUAUCAAGUAAAUUUGGGCUGAAAAUGUCUUUUCAACAAGUUUUGAUACUAAAGUGUCAAGAAAAAUGGUUUAAGGACUAAAAUGGAAAUUCUUUUAUAUAAAGGGUUAAAAGUAUAAAUUUUAUCCAAGAAGGGGCAUAAAAAGAAAAACUCUAAUGAUUAAAACAAUAAAUCCCUUAAGAUAAAAUACGAGUACCACGGCUACCGGCAAAACAUAAUAGCAAAUACACUUUCAACACCAAUAUCGUUGCCAAACGAAUUGAUUCAGUCUCAAAUCAAUAACGAAUCAAAGAUCAAUAAACAAUAGUACUUCAAUACACACGCGAAAAUCUACGAGAAGUCAAUAUUCAAUCUUUGGGCUUGAAAGUUUCAAAUCAUGCUUGUUGGGCCUAGCUAGCCCAAUAACAUGAUCUUUAGGCCCGAAGGGAACACGCUUACAUGUUAUUGGGUCUUCUAUGACCUAAUUCCGUGUAAAAGGACUUUCAAUAGCUUUAUUGUGCUGUUGGGCCCCAAGGGCCCAUUGGUACUGCUAGCAAAGUCAAGAAGUCAAAUGCGAGUCGGGCCUAGUGCCUUUCGCAUUCACGAUAGCCUUGAACGACUUAUGGAAAUAACGAGGGCUUCGUACCCUCUUUUCUCCUCGGUUGUGGGGCUAUGAGAAGUCAGGGUGGUUGGAUUAAGUGAGUCUUACGGACGACGCCAAAAGGAUCGUUUGUAAUUGGUAGUUAUAAACUAGUCAUUUUCAUUAAUGCGUGAUUAUAACGACUCACAACCCAUAAUUAAUCCAAUGUCACCUGGAAUUAUCGAAUACAAACGUCGCAUCGGCAUAACAAUAAAUAAGACACGUAAUUUGAUGUAUUAGGAAAACAUCGGGUUUUCCUAGGGAAUUCAACACUUUCAUAUAUGUGAUGCAUACAAAGUCUAACAAUUAUUCACAUUUACAGAAAUCAACAAGCAUACUUACGGAUCUUCACACUUUUUCUUAUAUACAAUACUCUUUUCAGAAAAUAUCGGAUUUUCCGGUGGUUUUAUAAAUAAUACAAAUCAUUACUUUUCAAACAUUACUUAUGAACUCACCAACAUUUCAUAUGUUAACGUUUUCCCAAAAUACUUGUAUUCUCAGGUAACAGGUAAAUCAAAGAAAAUAUAUCCAGUGAUAUCAUGAUGUUUUGUUUAAUUAAUAUCGAACGGUUUAUGUUUUGGAAAUGUAAUCUUUUAAAACAAUGUACUGAAUGUAAACAAUAUCGGUUGUAAUAUUUCAAUGCAUGGUGACGAAUGAUGUUAUGAUUCAUGUAUAAUCAUUAGGAUGGUAUUCAAUUAAGUCACAAUAGCCCUCGGACGUUUCCGCCGUCUGGUUCGGGGGUGUGACAGGUUGAUAUCAGAGCUCUGUUUAUAGUGAACUAGCAUAUCUAACCACAUAUUGAUAUGCAACUAUAAACCAAAAGAGGGACUAACACAACUCUGAACAAAACAAGUAAAACAUAACAAUAAAAUACCCUUGCUUGCACUAGGAACAAGAACAUAACGUUGAACCAAACAAGAUAAUUCUAGUAUCCCGGUUAAUCCAGUACUGUUCUUAGUGGUAUCAAGGAGUGGAUGUAGCCUGAUCAACUACAUUCCCUCCAAGGUAUAACUAUCACACGUUCUGAUGAGAUCGUGAUAGCUAGGGAACCUAAAAAUAUACCCCUUUAGCACCAAAAGGAGAACAUCCGUUAAGUCUAUGCAAUAGUGGUAGAGCCAUAGGAUAACGAUAGUUUAUUCGUAUACCUUCACCCAGUCUUCAUGGAAGGAGAGCAGCAGGGCAUUCGGUUUCAUCAAGUCCUAGUGGCUCACAGGAUGCUUGAAGAUGAACCAGAAGGGAAUCAAGAAGGAGCACACGACGUCGGACCUGACGAGUACAUGGAUACCGACUAUGAUUUCAAGGAGACCGAUGAUGACAUGGAGGAAGAACAAGACUCGGGCAAAGAUCACGCCGCAUCACCUAUUAGCGAGGUGCAGCAUGACCACCCCGCCCCACCAGUGAACCCCGCAAGGGAGAAUCGCUCUCCCGAAGCUGAGAUUGCCGCCCUGCGGCAACAACUGUUCGCCAUGGAAGCACGUGCAGUGCAAGCUGAGCAUAAGAGGGAUGAGGUCAUUGGAGACAUGACUGAGAUGGCUCAGCUGUUUGCUCAAAACUUCGGCAUAUGAUCCCGCCACUAUAUUAGGACACACCAUGGAGUGUUAGGAAUAGACUUAUCUUACUAGGUCAUUAAGAUCUAUGCUAUGUACCCCGACUAUAUGUUUAAGUGACUACACUACUCAUACAGCCGUUAUGUUGUCGAACUAGUAUCACUCAUGUAUGCUCUUACGAGCAAAAUUUUCAUGUAUCAAAUCCGGAUAAUAUUAUUAAACUUUUAUGUGUUUUACUUAUGACGUUAUAAUCUGCUAUGUGUUACGUGUACAUGAUUAUAUGCUAGUUUGUAGAAGUACUUAAGUCCGUACCAUGCACCUAGUCGGUAGGAUCACAACCUCACAGAAACCACAUACACUCAACAUCUUUCCGUUUCAUGACAGAAAGAUGUCUCGCCAACCUACUCGCGGAAACCCUGGACCAACCCCACCCGAAGUUGAAUCCACUGCAUUCCAGGCAGCCGUAUCUGCUGCGGUCGCCGCAGAAAUGGCACAAAUUCACCAAGGGAACAACGAAUGAGGCAACGGACUAGGGGCCGGGAGUUCGAACAACGGAAUGAAUCAAGGACCCACCAAAACAUGCUCUUACAAAGACUUCACCAACACCAAACCACGAACCUUUAACGGCACUGGAGGGGUGAUCACCCUGAAAAAAUGGAUCGAGAAGGUGGAAUCGGUGUUCGAGAUAUGCGAUUGCCCUGAAGAGAUGAAGGUGAAGUUUGCUGCAUGCACCUUUGUUGACCAAGCACUCACUUGGUGGAACGGACACGUGGAAGCCAUGACACUCCCCGUAGCCAAUUCCAUACCAUGGACAGAAAUGAAAGAAAUGCUGAUGGCCGAAUACUGCCCUCGUGGUGAAAUUCAGAAGAUGGAACAAUAACUGUGGAACCUCACUGUCCGGAAUGCUGAUAUAGAUGCCUACAUAUCAAGGUUCAGCGAACUAUCUCUGUUAUGUCCUGGCAUGAUCACCUUAGAAGGAAAGAAGAUCGAGCGAUUCAUCUGGGGACUCAUCUCCCCGAUCCAAGGAAACGUGAUAGCUGCAAAUCCUGAAACUUUUGACAGCGCCAAGAGAUUGGCCAAGAAGCUGUAUAACCACAACAACAAGAAGGGUGACAAGCCACCGGAGGCGGAAGCCAAGAAGGAAAGUGAUGGCAAGAAGGGGAAGAACAACAAGAGAAAGGGGCGUCAAGGCUCCGAGACAUCCAAGAAGCAGCAGACAGUGACAGUUAAUGUUGCCACCGUGCAAGUUCCAGCCACACCACAUGCUCCAGCCUCAGUUGCUCCAAAUGCUCCUAGACCUUAUUCUGGUAAUCUUCCCAAGUGCAACAAGUGCGGUUUCCAUCACAAUGGAGAAUGCAAGGAGCUGCAGUGCACCAGUUGCAAUCGAAAGGGGCACACGGCAAGGUAUUGCAGGACUUACCCUCCCCAGAAUCAACAACAGGGAAGAAACAACAACAACAACCGCAAAAACAACAACACCAACACUAGCGGCAACAAUGCCGGACCUAGCCACACCUGCUAUGGGCGUGGAAAAACUGGGCAUUUUCGUCGCAAUUGCCCUAACAACAACAAUCCCGGAAAUGGAGGGACAAGAAGGGUGCUGGCCAUGGGUCAGGGGGAGGCAAUUCAGGAUCUCGUUGUUGUUACCGGUAUGUUUCCCCUAAACCAAACUUAUGCAUGCAUCCUGUUUGACACCGGAGCAGAGCGAAGCUUUGUGAGCAAUAAGUUUAAAUACUAUUUAAAACAACAACCCCAGAAGCUCAAUGAAACCUUUACGGUGGAAAUGGCCAAUGGGAAAACCGAAUCCACUGGGGAAAUCUACACCGGAUGUACCCUAACCUUAAAUCAACACGUCUUUCGAAUAGACUUAAUGCCUGUUUCCAUUAGGAGUUUCGAUGUGAUUAUUGGCAUGGACUGGUUAAGCCCCCACCAUGCUGAAAUUAUGUGUCACGAGAAGGCCGUUCGCCUUCACCUUCCCAAUCACGAAACCCUAGUUAUUUACGGAGACAAACCUAGCACGAACCUUCAUCUCAUCUCGUGCGUCCAGGCACAGAAACACCUAUGAAAGAAAGAUUUGACGUUCUUGGCUCACAUAGUGGAUAAAAGCAAGGAAGAGGUUAACAUUUAGGACAUUCCAGUAGCACGUGAAUUCCCAGACGUAUUUCCUGAAGAUCUUCUUCGAGUACCCCCAAAGAGACAAGUUGAGUUCCGACUUGACCUCGUUCCAGGAGCAACCCCUCUCGCUAAAUCGCCUUACCGGCUAGCUCCUGCUGAAAUGUAGGAAUUGUCCAGUCAACUCGGCGAACUCAUGGGCAAAGGCUUCAUCCGACCCGACUACUCGCAAUGGGGAGCUCCGGUCCUCUUUGUCAAAAAGAAGGACGGAUCUUUUAGAAUGUGCAUCGAUUAAAGAGAGUUAAACAAACUCACCGUCAAAAAUCGCUAUCCACUCCCACGAAUCGAUGAUCUAUUUGACUAGCUCCAAGGGGCUAGUUACUUUUCUAAAAUAGAUCUACGGUCCAGGUACCAUCAGCUUAAGGUCCGGGAAGAGGAUAUUCCCAAAACUGCUUUCCGAACUCGUUACGGACAUUAUAAAUUUGUCGUAAUGCCCUUCGGUCUAACAAAUUCCCCCGCCGCAUUUAUGGAUCUGAUGAACCGAAUCUGUCGACCAUUCCUCGACAACUUUGUCAUCGUCUUCAUUGACGACAUUCUAGUCUAUUCCCGAAGCGAAGAAGGGCAAGGCCAACGUGGUAGCUGAUGCAUUGAGCCGGAAGGAGUACUCUAAUCUUCGUGCGAAAACUCUCUCAAUAACCAUCCAAUCUCACCUAACCACUCAGAUUGGGGUAGCCCAGUCAGAGGCCAUGAAGACGGAAAACAGAGCAAGCGAAGCAUUACGCGGAAUGGAGAAGAAUCUAGAGGUAAAAGAGGACGGGGUAUACUAUUUCAUGAACCGUAUUUGGGUCCCUAAACUCGGAGGAUUUAGGGAGCUAGUCAUGAAUGAAGCUCACAAGACGCGAUACUCCAUCCAUCCCGGUUCGGACAAGAUGUAUUUGGAUAUUAAACAACAUUAUAGGUGGCCUAACAUGAAGGCAGAAAUUGCCACCUAUGUCAGCAAAUGCCUUACUUGUGCCAAAGUAAAGGUGGAGUACUAGAAGCCCUCGGGGUUAUUACAGCAAUCGGUGAUUUCCGAGUGGAAAUGGGAAGGGAUUUCUAUGGAUUUUGUGACCAAGCUACCCAAGACGUUAGAUGGACUGGACACCAUAUGGGUAAUAGUCGAUCGACUGACGAAAUCCGCCCAUUUCUUGCCAAUAAAAGAAUCCUACAAGAUGGAGAGACUGACACGAUUAUACAUUCGAGAAAUCGUGAGACUCCAUGGAGUACCAGUGUCUAUUAUCUUGGAUAGAGACAGUAGAUUCACUUCCCGUUUUUGGCAAUCACUUCAGAAAGCACUUGGAACCCAUCUCGACAUGAGCACCGCUUAUCACCCACAAACGGACGGUCAAAGCGAACAAACCAUCUAGACGCUCGAAGACAUGCUUCGCGCAUGUGUGAUAGACUUUGGGAAGUCUUGGGAUACCCACUUACCCUUAGUUGAAUUCUCUUAUAACAACAGUUAAUAUUCGAGCAUCAAGGUCGCUCCUUUCGAAGCACUAUAUGGACGUAAGUGUAGAUCACCGUUGUGUUGGGCUGAGGUGGGCGACACCCAGCUAGAAAAGAAACUGGCAUCGGACAAGGCAUUAACGGUACCGGAGAUCAUACGUGAAACCACAGAAAAGAUAGUUCAAAUCAGAGCUCGACUACAAGCAUCACGCGAUCGACAAAAGAGCUACGCCGAUAAACGACGAAAGCCCUUAGAGUUUCAGGUCGGGGAUCGAGUGCUGUUAAAAGUUUCACCUUGGAAGGGGGUCAUUCGCUUCGGAAAACGAGGAAAACUGAACCCACGAUACAUUGGACCUUUCGAAAUCAUUGCCCGAAUAGGUCCAGUGGCGUACAAACUACAGCUACUCGCGGAGCUAAACAGCAUACACCCCGUGUUCCAUGUUUCAAAUCUUAAGAAGUGCCUAUCAGACUAAACACUCGUCAUUCCCCUUGACGAGAUUGAAAUCAACGAGAAUCUCCUGUUCGUUGAGGAACCAGUCGAAAUCAUGGACAGGGAGGUGAAGCGUACUAAGCAAAGUCGCAUCCGGAUCGUGAAAGUACGGUGGAACGCGAAGCGUGGUCCAGAAUUCACGUGGGAACGCAAAGACCAAAUGAAGCAAAAGUACCCUCACCUAUUCUAGCAUUCUCAAAUCUAGCUUUCAAAUGCAUUUCGGGACAAAAUUCCCUCUAACGGGGGGAAGAUGUCACAACCUAGAAAUUUUUGUGCCUUGUAGAUUACAACAAUUAAGCCAAAAUAUGAAUCAAAGACUCAAGAGCAUGUAUGAUGCAUACUCUAUGACAAUAAAAUUUCAAACAAACACCCCAUGCAAGCAUUUCAAGUGGUCAAUAAGCAAUUGGAAACCCUAGAAGUCCUUGUUUAAGUCCAUUUUGGACUAGGACUUCCUUAUUGGGCCCAACGGACCAAUAAGCUUCCAAUUUGACUAUCUUGGGCUUAGAACUCUUGAAUGGGCUCUAAUUGGACCCACUUUCAUUUAUUUUAACAUUUUGGGCCAUAAUGGGCCUAGAAUUAAAUAAAAUACCCUUAUUGGGCCAUAACAAAUCUAAUUAACCUAAAUGGGCCAUGAAACCCAUUCUUUUUGACAAAUUGGGCCGUAAGCCAUAAAGGAGCCCAAUGGGUUGAAAAAUAAUUAUUGGGCCUCAUAAAUUAUAAACCAAGGGAAGGAUUUGGACCAAGCCACUUCAUCCUUUCUCCUAGUCCAAGGUUCUCGGCCCAACACAAAAAAAAAGAGAUUAAUUAGAAUUAAACCUUGACACAUCAUUAUUGCUCAAAGGAUAUCAAGGUUUAAUACAUCACAUAGAUCUAGGGCAUCUCAUGUUCCCAUGCAACUUCUCUUUCCCCCCUCUCUCUUCUUAUGAUCGGUCGAGAGCCAAACCAUACACACACACAACAUCAAAACUCUUCCAAACUCUCUCAAAUAUUCUCCUCCUUUCCACUCCAAAAUCUCGAAAUUUUGCUUGUGCAUCAAGAGGAUUUCAAGAAAAUAUCAUCACUUCUUGAUAAGUUAUACAUAUCCAAAGAUUUUAUAACUCUUUUCUCAUGAUUAGAUCCCUUAUCUUAAACAUACUCUUAGAAUCACCUCAAGUUCGAGAUCAUCAUAAAGGUGUUGCUAGGGCCGAAAAUCACCUCACUUUCUUCUAUUUCUUCUUUAAAACCGUGAACAACAAGAAAAGGUGAGCUUCAUACCCCCUAUUUUUCUGUUUUUAUAAGCUUUUGU
This 8962-nucleotide long non-coding RNA is filed under the name Lactuca sativa (garden lettuce). RNAcentral describes it as "long non-coding RNA (LSAT_LNC007208)". Lineage: Eukaryota; Viridiplantae; Streptophyta; Magnoliopsida; Asterales; Asteraceae. The record is from RNAcentral.